Molecule: ribosomal RNA, 484 nt
Filed under: uncultured bacterium
Lineage: Bacteria
Description: partial 16S ribosomal RNA
Rfam family: Bacterial small subunit ribosomal RNA
Source: RNAcentral
AUUGAACGCUGGCGGAAUGCUUUACACAUGCAAGUCGAACGGCAGCACGGGGGCAGCCCUGGUGGCGAGUGGCGAACGGGUGAGUAAUACAUCGGAACGUGCCCGGUCGUGGGGGAUAACGUAGCGAAAGUUACGCUAAUACCGCAUACGAUCUGAGGAUGAAAGCGGGGGACCUUCGGGCCUCGCGCGAUCGGAGCGGCCGAUGUCAGAUUAGGUAGUUGGUGGGGUAAAGGCCUACCAAGCCGACGAUCUGUAGCUGGUCUGAGAGGACGACCAGCCACAGGGGGACGGAGACACGGCCCAGACUCCGAGGGGAGGCGGCGGGGGGGAAUUUGGGACAAGGGGCGAAAGCUGGACCCAGCCUUCCGGGGGGAGGGAGGAGGGCUUUGGGGUGGUAAUGUUCUUUUGGAGGGAAGAAAAGGGCUCGGGCAAAUCCCUGGGGCUCAUGACGUAACGGAAAAAAAAAGCCCGGGCAAACUAGGUG